ACGAACGCUGGCGGCGUGCCUAAUACAUGCAAGUAGAACGCUGAAGAGAGGAGCUUGCUCUUCUUGGAUGGGUUGCGAACGGGUGAGUAACGCGUAGGUAACCUGCCUUGUAGCGGGGGAUAACUAUUGGAAACGAUAGCUAAUACCGCAUAACAAUGGAUGACACAUGUCAUUUAUUUGAAAGGGGCAAUUGCUCCACUACAAGAUGGACCUGCGUUGUAUUAGCUAGUAGGUGAGGUAAUGGCUCACCUAGGCGACGAUACAUAGCCGACCUGAGAGGGUGAUCGGCCACACUGGGACUGAGACACGGCCCAGACUCCCACGGGAGGCAGCAGUAGGGAAUCUUCGGCAAUGGGGGCAACCCUGACCGAGCAACGCCGCGUGAGUGAAGGAGGUUUUCGGAUCGUAAAGCUCUGUUGUAAGUCAAGAACGGGUGUGAGAGUGGAAAGUUCACACUGUGACGGUAGCUUACCAGAAAGGGACGGCUAACUACGUG
Molecule: ribosomal RNA, 496 nt
Filed under: uncultured bacterium
Lineage: Bacteria
Description: partial 16S ribosomal RNA
Rfam family: Bacterial small subunit ribosomal RNA
Source: RNAcentral